Molecule: long non-coding RNA, 410 nt
Filed under: Helianthus annuus (common sunflower)
Lineage: Eukaryota; Viridiplantae; Streptophyta; Magnoliopsida; Asterales; Asteraceae
Description: sRNA HanXRQr2_Chr10g0459611
Source: RNAcentral
UGGAUUUGAAUACCCCUGUGGAGGACCCUUACGCACAACAAGGUUAUUCGAAUUUCGGUUACGGUGGCGAGUAUAGCUUUGUACAGCAGGAGUGUUAUCCAAACGACAGUUACGGUUGUCAACAAGGUUAUUCGAAUUUCGGUUACGGUGGCGAGCAAAGCUUUGUACAGCAGGAGUGUUAUCCAAACCAGAGUUACGGUUGUGAACAGAGCUUUGAACAUCAAGUCUAUUCGAAUCUCGGUGACGAUGGUGAGCCGGAGGAUGUGUCUACCUUUUCGUCACGUAAAGAGUUGGUGCGUUGGGUACAAGACACGGCAAAAGACAAUGGUUACCUCAUUGUGACAAAGAGGUCGAAUAAAAGAGGAGAGAAUUACAAGAUUUGGUUUCAAUGUACUUUUGGUGGGGAGCAU